Equus asinus (donkey) is the source of this 1605-nucleotide long non-coding RNA. The record is from Ensembl. Lineage: Eukaryota; Metazoa; Chordata; Mammalia; Perissodactyla; Equidae.
UGGUGGACAGAUUUGAAGCAGUUGCACCCAGGGCACCUGGGAGCCACAGCUGGAGCGUGUCAGUCACUGAGGUGUCCUCAGUGUGGGGGUGUGAUCUGGCCUGAGGUCUCGCUCUGAGAAGUGGGCUCUUCCCAACACUUCCUCCACGGAGGGACAGUGGAGGGUGAAGUUAGAUCCGCUGCCAGAGCCGGAAGCUCCUGCACUGCCCGGGGCUCUGUUCCAUGCGGGUCCGGGAGAAGCAUGGCGUCAGCCCAUCUGGGCCAGGACCGGGUGCUGCCCUGCUCACAGCUUCCCCAUGAGGUGACGUGUGCCCUGAAGUUCCAGAGUCUCCGAGUUCGGGAGAGUCCACGUUUAGGUGACUGUUCUUCAAAUACCCACUUCUAAGGGAAGAGGCCUCAGCCAUUCCUGACACAGAGGUCUCCAUGGGGACCACAUGGCCCACCCACGUGGCCUCUGCCCAGCAGCCGGAGCCACAGAGGACACACACACCCUCCCCCACAGGUACCUGCACACCACACAUGCACUACACACCACACACACACAUCCACACCCCACACACACCACACACACACCCAUCAUACACCACAUCCACACCACAUCCACUCACACACACCCACUCACACACACACACACACCCCUCACCCCAGGCAGCAUUGAGAGUCCCGGCCCCAGCGCACUCUCCCUUGGACAGUGGAACCAGAGGGGCAGGAAGGGUGGUCUUCCACGGUGGGGACCGAGGAAGCCUCGAGGCCCUCAGAGGUGAGCGGGAUGGAGUUCAUGCUGGGAGCGCCUUGUGCUCUUUGCCACUUGUGUAAAUGUUGCUGUCGACCGGGUUCUGUCCCCACUGACUGUUCCCCCUUGGAGGGAGGCAUGGCCCCGUGACCAGCUCUGGCCAGUGGAUUUGACAGGUGAGAGGGGCCACAUCCCUGUGAAAGCAUCUGAGAGCCGAGUGUCUCCAUCUUCCCUUCCCCUGUGGCCUCGAGAGGUUGGGUCCCCAAGUAAGGCCGGUGUGGAGCAGAGACCGCCAGCCCGUGACAGACAGGGCGUGAGAACGACAAUAAGCCUUUGUGGGUUUAGGCACGGAUUUGGGGCUGUUUGUUACCACCACAUCGUUCACCCCCUCCUGCUGCUGGGUGCAGUGAAGAACCACACCCCACAAAGGCUGGACUCUCCCCUGAGACGAGUCGUGGGAUUUGGGCACGAAGCUGGCAGCGGGUCGCAGAGGUUCAUGACCAGGAGAGCAUAAACUCAGGACGGUGAUGGCCCUGGAAUGGGAACAGAACGAGACCGGGAAACUCAUUUAAUUUUCUGUCCACGCCCCCUUACACCCAUCUCUCAAAAGCUGAAGGCAACACCCGAGAGUCAUUCCCGCCCUGCUCUGCACCCCGGGAAGUUGACCCCAGGAGACUGCUUCAUCCCCACUCCCCUCCUUCUGGCUUCGAGUUGGGUUCAGCCAAUGGGAGAGCCCAACAGGACAUGGGAGGGUGGGAGGAGAGAGGCCCGGUGUGUAAACUCCACUCUCUCCUUGCCUCAGCACCUCCAGGACUAUGGCUCCACUGGGCAGCCCCCUGCUAAAGCUGUAGCCCUCUCUGGGCUCUGGUACUG